UGACCCUUUGCCUUAGGAUUAGUCAGUUCUAUUUCUCGAUGGAGGCAAGGGAUAUAACUCAGCGGUAGAGUGUCACCUUGACGUGGUGGAAGUUAUCAGUUCAAGCCUGAUUAUCCUAAACCCAAUGCAAGUUUUUCUAUUUGUAUGUUGUGAUUGAAUAAUAAUUGAGAAUGGAGAAAUAUCUGAAGCUCUAUAGCUACCAUUACCUGAUAAAUGGAUUCGUCGUGCUGGUUACCCAACAACAAGGUGUACACAGUUUUUGGGUCUGCCACAGGGAGCAUGGUUUCAAGAUGGUGGGUUCGAGACUGCUAGAGAAGGAGUUGUUAUAGGAUGUUUGGGAAUGAUUUCCUUGAAGACAAGCUAAAUCCUUUCCUCAAGUCAGAUCUUGAACCAUGAAGACACACUCUAAAAGCUGAGUUUAGAUCACAUCAAUGGCAUGGAGGUAUAAAACUUUCUUCCUUUAUUUACUACAAUUAAACUCUGCGAUCAAUGGAUUUAAGUGUUUGGUUGAGUUAUUCUCUUAAUUCUAAUUAAACACAUUUUGUAAGUUUUGGAUUAUUCAAGGGCUGUGAAGUCUUUAUGCAGCAAAAAAACUCUAAAAUGAGUUUGGCAACUGGGUUGCUAAGGCUAUAUAUGAAAUGAUUUUUUUUUUAAUUAGCAUAAGGUUAUCUAUUUUUUUUAUACCUUGCAAUUUUUAUGAUAACCUUAGAUUGUUUCUUAGUUCAUUUUAUUGGAUUUUUGGUCAUUUUAUGCCCCUCCAGCUUUGCCUUGGUUUUGUGCCACCUGGCCGCCAUGUGUCUUGCUUUCAACUUUUGUUCUGCUGCCAACUCCACGUAUCAUUCUCAAACUGGCGGAUUUCAACUUCUGUUUAAUUUUGCUUGAUAAUCUGUCUCAAAUCCAAAAUCAUUCUCUUUCCUCCGUUUAUCUCUUUCUCUUUUUUUCGGAAACUGAAAUUUCGCCGGAAUGCUAAAGGCACCCGCUUUUCGCAAUGCAUUCUCUCUUCUUCUUCUUCAUUUGCUGCUCACUUUGGUCUCUACACGAGGAUCUCACAAAACCACUUGGAACACUCUCACCAGUUCGUGUUGUUUCCUUUCACUCUUUUUUCUAUUCCUUUUGUGUUUUCUUUGUUGAGUUUGUGUUAAUU
Glycine soja is the source of this 1144-nucleotide long non-coding RNA. RefSeq lists it as uncharacterized. Lineage: Eukaryota; Viridiplantae; Streptophyta; Magnoliopsida; Fabales; Fabaceae. The record is from RefSeq and is a predicted model, not a curated record. The transcript is spliced from 3 exons.